This 301-nucleotide ribosomal RNA is filed under the name uncultured bacterium. Its description in RNAcentral is "partial 16S ribosomal RNA". It matches the Rfam family "Bacterial small subunit ribosomal RNA", at positions 509 to 809 of the family's 1533-position model. The record is from RNAcentral.
CAGCCGCCGCGGUAAUACGGAGGGUGCAAGCGUUAAUCGGAAUUACUGGGCGUAAAGCGCACGCAGGCGGUCUGUCAAGUCAGAUGUGAAAUCCCCGGGCUUAACCUGGGAACUGCAUUUGAAACUGGCAGGCUAGAGUCUUGUAGAGGGGGGUAGAAUUCCAGGUGUAGCGGUGAAAUGCGUAGAGAUCUGGAGGAAUACCGGUGGCGAAGGCGGCCCCCUGGACAAAGACUGACGCUCAGGUGCGAAAGCGUGGGGAGCAAACAGGAUUAGAGACCCCAGUAGUCCCUGUCCUUAUACA